This 256-nucleotide ribosomal RNA is filed under the name uncultured bacterium. RNAcentral describes it as "partial 16S ribosomal RNA". It matches the Rfam family "Bacterial small subunit ribosomal RNA", at positions 524 to 776 of the family's 1533-position model. The record is from RNAcentral.
UACAGAGACCUCAAGCGUUAUCCGGAAUCAUUGGGCGUAAAGCGUACCGAUAGGUGGCUUGGUUAGUCUUGGGUGAAAUCCCGAAGCUCAACUUCGGGUUUGCUUAAGAUACUGCCAGACUAGAGGGGUAAAGAGGAGAUUGGAACGAACGGUGUAGUAGUGAAAUGCGUUGAUAUCGUUCGGAACACCGAAAGCGAAGGCAGAUCUCUGGGUACCUCCUGACACUGCUAGGACGAAAGCGUGGGUAGCGAAUGGG